CACCCUCUCUACCCCUGCGGCAUGGACCGCUCCGCCCCUGAUGGGGUCAAAUCAGUUGUGCGAGUUGAAUAGGCUGGUUAAUGUGUGAGCAUGUCAGCACCUUUGGCAGAAACGGUGCAUUAGGCCACAAGGUCACGCCUGAGCCAUCUGAGUUCCACCUCACACGUGAUUCGCUCACUGAGAAGGCAUGCAGCUCGCCCACACGCUUAGCUGACGUGAUGACGAGGAGAAAAACUGUUUUGGUCGAUAGCCAUUCAGUUUUGCCUGUGCGAAGGGUUAGCACGGAGGCGAGCAUAGAGUGUCCAAUACCAAUUGCAGGUCCCAUGCAGGGGCCCUCAGGGCCUUCGGUGGAUGCAGUCGCAGAACCCCUCUCAGGAAGAGGGACACCAGUCUGUGGCUCCCUACAGUCUUGUCAUCAACCUUAGUGUGCUGCCCUGAAAAUACGGGCCACAUACGCCUUCAGGGUAGACUGAGACCGGCCUCUGUCCUGAGGGACUGCAGAAAUUCAAAUAUGGCCGCUACGGGGCACCGUACUGGGUCACUGUCCUGAACCGCACACCAGUCAGAAAAUAGCCUGCACCGGUUUUUGUAUUGCAAGCUGGCGUUAAGGAUGGUUCUUUUAACUGGGUCUCUGCAGUCAGUUAAAGGAUGGUCGGGCCCUCCAGCAGCCAGACCCACAGUGGAAGGCGGCCGGAAUCGGGAUGCAUGAUCCGAUCUCCUAGUUGUGAAAGAAGGUCCCUUCUGUCGAGGAGGCGCCAGGGCGUCCCGCGACAAAGCCUGUGUAGUAGGGAAAACCAAGUACUGGCUGGCCAUAGAGGGGCCACCAGCAAGAGUCUGUGGCCAUGUUGGAGAACUCUGAGGAGCGUUGGCAAUAUCAGAGGAAACAGUGGAAAGGAGUAAAGAAGCCUUUCUGGCCAGAGUAUCCUGACCCAGAGGACUGGUCCUCUCCAUCAGGGAGAACCAGUGGGGGCAGUGGGUUGAUAUCUCCGAGACAUAUAAAUCUACUUCUGCUCCAACGAAGAGAUCCCAGAUGUUCUGUAACACGUCUGGAUGAAGCCGCCACUCCCCCGGGGGAGACUUGUGACGGACAGGAGGUCUGCUACCUGGUUCCGAUCCCCUACAUUGUCCGAAGGCUGGACAGACUCGAUUGAGUCCUUACUGUGAGAAAGCCUAACACUUAUAUCUAAAUGCUUAUUUAAUCUACACAAUGUGGCUUCAUAUUUACUUCUUUGCUCCUGCCUUUGGUAACUUUGAAAGACUGUUAUUCAGUACAAGACAAAUGCAACACAAUCAACAAAGGCAGUCACUGACACUUAGAGAAAAUAAAAGAGUGAAAUUAACAGUAUUUAAAGUGGUAUAUACUGUGCAAAUAAACAAUUCAGCUGCAAUAAACAGGGCAAACUGUUUUUGUAGGAGUUUAAGAAUAGACAAAAGAAAUAAGGUAUUAGGACAUUUAGUACAUUGGAAAGAUCAGUCAUUGCGGCGUUUGAGAUUAGGCGGUUGGUGUUUUUAUUGGUGGGUGGAAAAGCAGUUUCACGCCAUUUUCAACACUUUGACAACCGCGGGAAGGCGUCCCAGUAUUGUCCCGUGUUUCCUCCCAGUCUGACGAGGUGGUGGGCAGGGAAUGAAUUGGGUCUCUUGAGGUGUUUGAGUCCCCGCUCUGACAUCAGCCCUGGUAGAUAUCUGCAACGAUUCUUAGCUGUGUCAUGACUGACCGGCACGUUAAAAAGUUUCCAGCACACAGAAUGCAUAACUGGCGUUGUCUGUCUGAGCUAAUUUAAAGGAAGUAACACUUGGAAAGACCACAGCUGUCCAAUCAAAGAAAAAAAGUUCAUGGCUUUUAAAAGUAAUAUAGAAAUUUGCCAACACUUUGAAGAGAGUUUUGGGGCCAGCGUGGUUUUAAUAGCCUCAACAAAACCUACCAAGAGAGAUGUAUUAACUUUGAUAUGAAAAAAAAAAAAAUACAAAGCUGUGUUUUGAAAGGAUAAGUCGGUGAAAGUAGAGCUUUAGAUAGGAUCACAGUCAAAUAGCUGAGGCCCUGCGCAGGGCUGGUCUCUGAUAUUUCCCUUACAUGUCCAAAAGCAGACAACAGUAUAACCAUGCCUGUUCCUUUUAAGGCAAUCAAGGCACAUGAUGUCUUCUACUUAUCAUGUAUCAUUGUGAAUAAACUAUUCUGACAGAAUUAUGGGUGCCAUCAUCAAGAUUAUGGUUAAAUGUAAUGCAAUUAUUACCGUUAUAUUCCCGCCCAGUGAUUUAAAUGUCCCCUCAAAACAAUAUCAUAAUCAAAUAGAGAAUAUUUUAAGUUUUCUUUUUAUUUGUUGCUCACUUUCAAGGCACCGCAGCAUAAAAUUAGAAUAUCAUCCCAUUAGAGCACCUUAAGAAAAAUUGAUGAUGGCUGAAACUCGGGUGUGUUUUUUGUAAUAACUAUGAAAGGUACUGGGGAAGAACCAACGCGUUUGAGGCGGGUGGCUUUUUCAUUUCAUAAUUUGAUGGCUUUUUCUUUGUCGUCAGUUAUAGUCUGUUAAGACAGUGAGUCAGGAGGCAUUUAACAUACACUUCCAUAUUCCUAGACGACAUAUUUGAAGGGAAAUGGAAAAGGGAAAAAGGUGCCAUUUACCAACAUCCGAACUGACCGCGGACAUGUCAGAAAGAGCUUUCUCACGUACAGCACUACUCGAAAAGAAAAGCUUGAAAGAUACAGCAUGAAUGGAAGGUGGUAUGAGGUUACUUCAAGAAAGCCAUAUUUGACUCAGUGUUUGAACACUGAAAAUGUGUCAAGAGCUCCUUCAUACUCAUUGCUUCAUAUUAACCGCUCAGUGACCCAUUGCGCCUUGUUUAUGGAAGCGGUUUCUCUAUUUGUUUAGUUUUCUCCUUUUGGCCGUUACUCUCCUUCUCCUUUUCACUUUAGAAGUUACACCUCAGCUUUUCAGUCUAAGGUGAAACCUUCUUGGAUGAUAAUGGUCUUGAAAGUAUCAACAUUUAAGAGUGACACUUUAAAAAGCAAAUAUCGGCAGAAUGCCGUUUCUAAUUUUCUGCGUUAAUGUCAAAUAUUUACUUGUGAUCAGUUAGUCCACUGAACGGUUUGGGUUCACGUCUCGUUUUAUUUAGUAGUUUCAUGCCUCUUGUGUCCCCGGGUUAACUUCACUUCACUUCCUGCCUUGUCCUGUCAUCCCCUGUGAUUGUCUGCUGUGUCCCUGAUUGUUUCCACCUGUGUCCAAUCACCUGCACCUUCUCAGUGUAUUUAAACCAUGUGUGUCUCUUGUCCCUUGUCGCAUCAUUGAAUGUUUAACCCUGAAUGUGAGUCUUGAAUGUCAUUCCCUGAAUUGCGUGCGAGUUCCCGGUCCAUUUCUUCCUUUUCGUGUCCAUGUUUUUCCCCUUGGCCUUUUGAUUUGAUUUUUGGAUUUAUUAAAAGUAUUGUUCUUUGUCAAAUCUCUACGUCUGAGUCCCACUUCCGGCCACGCCGGCCGCUCUGACACUGCCCAAGUAAUUCUGCUUCUGAUGAAUUAGUUCCAAUCACAUUCUGUGAUGUUUUGGACAUAGCCCUUCUUAAGCAACACUCCUGGUCGUGUUGCAGCUUGAUACGGGCAUUAUUGAGUGGUUUAACUUGAAACAGCGAUACUCCAUUUUAUUUCUGCACAUGUUUUGUAAGUGCGCUUCCAUUGUAUUUAACCAUCACUGACGAUUUCUUCUGUUCUUAUUCAACUGUUUGCAGGAUCGAUCUCUCUGGUCUGGUUGAACCAUUUACAGCAUUUUAUUUCUCAUCUAUCAAACAGACUUUCUUUGCAAACCCUUUCUUUAGUAUUUUUUGAGGAUUUGAUGCAACCCGGAGGCAUGGAAGCCAUUUCCAAAAACUAAUCCCCUCAGAUAUCUGACUUUAGCAAAUCACACUUUUGUUGGAUGUGGCCCCAAACUUUUAGCAGCAGUCUUUGCAUAUGUAAAGAUGUGGAUGGAUGGCUUUGUGAGUAAACCUCUCAUAGGGAGCUGGUGCACGUUGGAACGACACAGGACUUGUCGGAAAGGGUGGUGCGUAUCGUUUGUUUUACACAUGUCUAAUAGAUGGCUCCACCCUUGGUUAUGACACUGUGGUUACAAUCGUAACUUAAGUUCCAUCCACUGAGACGUAUAUUCCGCCAACUCCCUCAUCCCUUCAUCACCACUAGCAAUGUCCUGGCUCAACCAGAUCCCUUUGCUACUUCAGUCACAUCAAUAUUCCCGUAAAGUACUAAGCAAAGUUGCUCCUGAUUAAAGUUGGUUUACCAGUGUUCUUCUGGGUUAUUCAAUUAAAUCUGAUCCAUCAAUUUAAAGCCCACUUCUAAUUAUAACAGUUCCCUUUGGAAAGAUAUCGCGUGUCACAGUGUCUUCACUGAAAGAGCCCCCUAGAAGGCACUCCAUCAACUUUUAUUUACAAGGAGGCAUCGAAGCGGAUACUCUUUGCUACGCUUUGUUGGAAUACAACCAUGAAGAGAGGAAGUUUUCCCACAGAUACUCCCACAGUACAUUUCAAACCUCUUAAGCCCCACAGCGCCAUUGAACCCUGAUAAUUCUACCAAAUAGCAUCUAAUACACGAUACUCAACACAAACAAAUAUAAUAAUACCGCACAUCAUUGGAAACAUCAGAGCCUGGGCUACAAGGAUAACAAUGUGUGUUAUGUAUUUUUUGGGUAACAAACGGCACAUUUCGCGACCCAUUGAUCGAAGCACCAUGCAAAACUGAGAUUGACAAAAGCAAGCCAAUAACACACGGAUUACAGAGACAUCCGUAACAUACCUCCUCUUCUCUUGAUCUCACAAUCAAACCUUCCCCGCAUUUUGUGCAAAAAAACCACCACCACACAAUCUAAUCUUUGCUUACCAAUCGUAAUGUUUCACCAACUUUUGUCAUUUUCACAGAUAAUACAAUAUAUUUCCAGUGUCUUUUUCAAUGCUACACGCUAUCCCUGUUACGUAUGCUACUUUUAGGUUUCGAAAGAGCAUUUUUCUGACUAAGAACCAAUUUGAAAAGAUCUACGCAUUUUGUCCUUGCAGGUGAUGCUGCACCCCACGUGGAUCUAGGUUAUUCACAUCGACUGACGAAUCAUGAAACAAAAAAUCUUCUGUGUGUGUGUUCUGACGUUUUUAGGAUAAUACAGCUACAUCUUUUUUUUUUUAAAAUUAGUACUUCAAUUAAGAAAUUCAAUUUGUGGCUAUUACUCUCAUUUGUCUUGCCCAAUUGCUAAAUUGGUGUUUCUGCAAUCACACAGUUUAACACCUCAAGCUGCAGAUUUAGUGUGUGUUCAUGAGCUACUGGGAAGGCAGAGUGAUUUUUGAAAUUUUUUAGACUACCAAGCGAGGCGGUUACAAACACUGAAUGCACUGUAAUGACUUACUACCAAUUGUUGCAAUGCAAAUGCACAUGAGGCAUACUGUGAACUGUAGGCAAUAACACAUGACAAAGUGUCCUUAUAUAUUCCGACCGACAUUGCAGUGAGUCCCUCUGGAAAUGAGUAAUUGUCUACUUCAUGCAUGCAACUGUUUGCCUGCUAUAACUUAAUAAAUCCUAAUGGCCAUAUGCUACCAUUGACUUUUUCUUUCAAAUCACCCAACUAUGCAGAAAAUGCAUUGAAUCUGUGUAAAAAGAGAAAUAAGAGGCAUGGGCAAAUUAAGCUUCAGGCCCCGAAGGUUUUUCACUAUUUAAUGGCCAUUUGCAAAAAUUAGGCUUCUGUCUCAUGUUUCCUACUCGUUUACCCAUAAUGCAUUAGCACCAGUGUAUGUCUGACUGAGCAUGACUGACUGCCCACACACUUAGUGACAUGACAAUACUUGCUCGAUAUGUUGUGUGGACCUUUUAUACUAUGACUAAUAGGCGGACUCUGACUGUCCCUGUAACAAAUCAAUAGUUGAGAAUCAUUCGAUUUUGACGGAAUGCUUAUAUUUAUCCAACGCUUGUUUUACAUACUCAGGAAUGAAACCAUCCAAUUAAAUCACAUAUGUGUAUUCUGAAAAGAAUCCCUGCUCUAUGAGAUGAGACACACAGGAGUAACAGUCAAGUCAGUCGAAAUUAUUUUACAUCAUAUGCUCUAAUAAGUGUGAUUAUGGUUACCAAAACUAGAGCAUUGAACCCAGAAAGGACAUGACAAUGGAAAAAGGGAUGGGAGUAAAACCUAGAUAAUAUCCCUGCACAAAUUUGUAUGGUAAAUUUGCACUUCAUAGUGAAUAACGGUAAUUUAAACCUGCAGUGCAAGGGCAGUUCAGUUAUACUGAUACAUGUCUAGGUUAAAACAACCGCACAUACAUUGUAAAAGAAACCAAAUCAUUAGAAGAAAUAAGACAUGAUUGUAAUGUUCCCAACUUUACUAUGAGCAAAUAGCAAAAAUUGUGUGACUGGAUUAUUACUUAAAUGCCCGUUUGGUACGCAGUUGGUUCUGAGUGUUUAGAAUGACAGUUCUGGGUUUACAUCUGAGUUAAGUAGAAAGCCCUUCCCUUCUGUAUGAAACUUUAGCAAGUUCGUAAACUCAAACAAGUACCACAAUACAAAUUGCUUUUGGAUUAACUCAGCACCAAAUAUGCAAAUAAAGAGAGAGGGGAAAGACAUUAAUGACAAAAGACAUGGGGGUUAAAGGGUAGCAGGAAAUGAAGAUUAUGAGAUUGAUGUUGUUGGAUGGUAAUAAAUGGCCCAAAGGGUGUAGCCAAAAUGAAUAUUUGGCUCUUCGUCCGUUUCCAUGCUGGUACACUUUUUGGGGAAAUGGAGUAUCUUAAAUGGGAAUUCAUUGCACCAUUUCUCUGUCAAAAAUUGAAAAAAAUUAAAAAUUAAAAAAAUAUGUUUCUUUUUGUGGUUACUUGGUGAGGCAGAACAAAUAACUAAGCACACAAGAAAAAGUAAGCAGAAUCCCCAUAAGAAAUGUAAGCCCAUACUUUUUUUGUGAGCACUUACAUUUUCUGACAAAGAUAAAUGGAGGAAAGGGAUUUGACCCUGCAGUGUGUUUAAUAAAUUAGAUGAGACAUUGAUUAAUUAGUUAGUUUAAAUCACCAAAAGCUUCAUUAAUUGACAGUCUCUGAGCCAUAAAUGAAUCAUACUCAUCACAAGCAUUCAAAUUUAAAAUUGCACUGAAAGUUGAUGACAAUAUCAACUUUAUCGUAAAACUGCAUGUUCAGCAAAACAGUGGAAAAAUCAGCACGUAACCGCCAACAAGCCGUAACUCAGUCGAAUGGUAAGCCUAAGGAGGGCGAGUUAUUACGGGCGUAGUCCAGUGUUGGAAGGCUGGCAGCGGGAAGCAGAGCGAACAGAAUCCUCGACGGCUUUCUGCUUUAACAGCUGCAGCAUCUGUCCCCGGGUGGCACACGGCCGUUAUACCUCUUGAAUAUGUAUGCAUGUUAUUGGUCCCGGGAGAGCCACUAUAUAUCUGUGGAGCGGUGGACGGGUGACAAUGGGGGCUCAGUCGUCCCUUUCCUUUAUCUGGGCCUGUCUGCCUCCUGAUGUAUCUCUCACCACAACUUGUUCAGAUUGCCUCAUCUAUCAUUGGCCUCAGAUAUGAAAAUAUGGAUUCCUGCAUCGGGGCCCAGUCACAUUGUUACAAGUGCAAUCUGGACGCAUCAUGGGGGAGGCCCUCCUCCGAAGUUAGGGCGGAAGAAGGGGGGCGGGUGGGGUAUUGGUAAAAAAAGACCCCCCCAAGGAGCAGAAAGGAGCUAUUGUGCACAUUCAUUUUUUAUGACAGUUGUUUUUUUAUUAUUAGGGACACAGCUUUUCCUGUUCACUUUUUGAACAAUAUUACAACCUUUCCACUGCCCUAUCUCUUCAUAAGCUUAUUGCUCAACCACUUGUAUGCCUCUCUAUAUAUAUUUUACAUGAUGCGUGGAAGAAAGAAGAACUUGACGAGUAAACAAUGAUUCAGUUACUGUCUAUCUUCAAGGACAUAUGGCCACCAGCAUGGCGGCAAUCAACACCGCAUUGGUGCUGUGAAAUUAAAGAUGUGUUUAUGACUAUACUCCCAUGCCAAAUCUCUCAUACCCCACGUUUGUUUAUUGGCUUCCCUUAAUAAUGUGUGAAGGGGGAUCGUAAUUAGAUUAAGCUUAAUAAAAGACUUACCAAUUUGCAUUACGCAAGGUCAUUCAUUAUCUGUUCACAGACUUAGAAGGCCAAGUUAUCUGUUGGCAAAACUUAAUUUUAGUAAGAAGGCACAACUCCAGAGUUUGAACCAAACAGUCUUUGUUUAUAUGUUUAUAUGGAUGGAAGUAUAGCUUGGAGAAGAAUCAUUGGGUUUUUCUUGGGGCCAAAGACAGUUUUAAGUAAAUAAGACAGUUUUAAGUAAAUAAGCAUGACCUCCGGGUCUUGCUCAGCCUAUAUUAUAAAGCCUGAGAAGAGCGCUUGCACAACCAGUUCUGUUUAAUGAAGAAUGGGUUGAAAGUUGUCAGGCUGGCUAAAUGUAAACAGAUACAAGACAUAGAUAGAAGAGGAAAGUUGCAAUGGUUUAACUGAACGCACACUCAAAAUUUGUGUAUUACCUUGAAAAUGUGACACUCGUCAGGGAAUCUGGAUGGAGCAGAGCAAUAUAUAAUGACUAAACAUAUUACAGCUUCCUCAGUUCCUCAGUUGCCACUGAUUUGUUCAAGGAAAAUACUUUCAGAUGAGCGUACAUUUUUUUAUUGAGAUUGUUUUCACUGGAAUUCAUAAAAUAAAUGUGUCAAUGAAUCAGGUUCAGGUCACUUUUAUUUGUACCCGUAGGUAGACUUGGUCAGAGGCAUCCAUCAUGACGGACAUUACAAAAACACAGACAACAAGGCAAACAUGAUAAAAUUACAAAAAGCCACAAAUCAGUCAAUCAACAAAUACAAUAAUUAAUUACACAAACCUUUCUGUCGCAUCUAUGCGCUGUUGCUAUCAUUUUUUCACCUGUGAUGACCGCUGGAACAAAGCUUUUCUCAUACCUCGUUGUUCUGCACCAUAUACCUCCGUCUAGGAGGAAGAAGUUAAGACUCCCCGUGCAAAGGGUGCGAGUCGUCCUUUAAAAUGGAGCCAGUUAUCCAUUGCAACUGUAAAUAAGUCCAAAAUAAUAUCUUGGUUUUCUCAGUGAGGAAAUAUUUCAGUUUCCUCAAACGAAAUAAACUCCCAGGCUCCUUUUUGCACACAGCUUCACAGUUUGCCUCAAAGAUCAGUUUUGAGUCAAUCACUGUCCGAAGAUAUUUGUACGAUUGUACACGUUCCACUGUCUGACCCUUAAAGCAUAUAGGUUCACGUACGUGGGAUCGUCCUUUAAAAUCAGUUAUAAUAUCUUUGGCUUUAGAUAUUUUCGAUCAAAGACUCUUCACACCAAAGAAGGAGAGGAAUUAACAAGUAAAAGUCUAACAUGAGAUCCAUAACCCUGCAGGUGUAAAAAGUAAAUUAAACAAAGUGACUGUGGCUUCUUUGUCUCCUCUGUGUGACAGGUAAGCAAACCACAUUGAAUCAAGUGCUUGCUCACUUCUACUUAAAAUGUUUGACCUUACCAGUUGUCAUUACAAUUGAUGUGAGUGCAACUGGUCUAAAAUCUUAAUGAUCUCAACCAAAUCAUAUGUAAAUAUCACUUGAGGUAAAAGCUUCUGCUGCCCUAUAGCUGAGCUAUUUCUUCAUACGGACUGGAUUCAACUAUUACCUCAUUUAGUUGUGUAGAUCAAGUGACUACCAUGACAUCAGAUCAGUCAGGAAAUACUUGAAGAGACCCCAUUAUGCCGACAUAUUUUGGGGGAGUAGUGACGCUCAACCUGACCAGAUGGUUUGUUGGUUGACUACCCAAAAGUCCAUUGUUGGCCAAUGGUUAAACCGACAUGAGCAUUUCAACAUGUGGUCCCGUAGCCGGUUUGUAAUUUAGCCUUAAACAACCUGAAAAGGAAGCCAUUUCUUUUAACGCUGGGCCUCACUAACAGAAGUCCCCAGGUCACAUGAUCCCUCCAGCUGAACAUUUUCAUUGAUGUUGACGUUAAAAUGACCCCCCUUUUUCACCCUUCGGUGUUUGUUGUCUUCCAGGUCACGCCUGCUGUAAUAAAAAAAAAUCCACACACCCUCUUGCUUUUUGUGAAUUCUCCGGACAAUGAGUGGUUCGAUUCACAGAUGGGCUUAAUUGGUCAUUACACAGACUGUUUCUUCUAUGGUGUUGGCAGGUUGGCAAGUCUGUUUAACAUCUGGUCCAACUGAUUCACACGUUUGCUUUCUCACAUACGCCUCUUCUGAGUAAUGUCUAGAAGUUCAAGGCUGCAGCUCACACGUGUUGCAAAUACAUGCAUGCUCUCAUGAUCCUUUGGAUCUUCUGACAUUUGCGGUAUUUUGCACAAAGACCCAUAUUGACGGGUGCACAUUCUUAAUGAUUAAGAGCUUGUAUCGACUAUUCCCUCAUGAUGUCCAAAGAAGAGAUCUGAGGUGCAGAGUGGCCUCGAUUGACAUGAAACACGGCUGACGUGAAAAGCAGUGAGCAGGGGAGGAGACCAAUUGUGCUAAUCCCAUAAUCAACGGUGUCUCCACGGAGGGGUUUAGUAUAAAAGCAACAGCUGCAGCGCUGUGGCGGUCACCCACAACAAACCCCAGGUCAUCUGGCAGCGGUUUAAUCAACAUCUAAAUCACAGCAGCUCAACUCAGCAGAUCAAAGUCAACGUUUCCUUUCUUUCCCCUUCUCUCCUGUGCUUGCCGGGGUUCUUCUAUUUUGCCUGGACAGGAGCAGGGUCUGAUGGCUCAGUCAGAAAGGCACAAUCGGAGUAGAUGUUAUCCACUUUGCGUUGAUUUGUCAUCGCAGAUCCUUUUUAGACGAUCCCUCGGGCCUCGCAGCUGCCCUGAUGUGGGAGUUAUCGCUUCCUGCAGCGAGCAUUCCAUGCAAAUGGAAUCCAACAGUCUCGAUGAAAUUAUAGAGGAAAAUGUUUGUGCAAACAGUAAAUGUGGAACUUACAUUUUCACUUCCACCAAAUGGAUCAAGCUGUAUACAAUAGACAGGAUACCACUUACGGUAUGUCGCUUAGUGCCGAACACUGUUAAUGUCAUUUUGAUUCAAGAAAAGGACGAUUAAUGUAUGAUUCAUGUACAAAUGAAGCUUUCAAUACAAGAGAACAUUUCCUUACCAGCUUCGUUGUGGUUAAAGGUUGACACAAUGGGUACAAGUACUUCCCUCGUGCUUUCUGACAAACUUUCUCCUGCCUUUCCAAUUAUUAUGACUUUGGAACCAGUGCUGCAGUGGAUGUCAGAAGAAAUCUCAGUGGCUCACCUUCUCUCCGGGGAGACUCGUUGCUAGUGUAAAUAAGGCUUGUUUUGGAAACUUUCUCCAGACCGUCUUCUGUCUGGUAUAUAAAUAUUUAUAUAUUGAUAUACAUAAAUAUUUCAAUGACCAUAUUAUUUUCCUUAAAAACGUGUUUCUAAACUGUUUAUUCUAGUUAGUUUAUUGGAUAAACUUGAGGGAAUAUUUUGUGUGCGUGUGUGUAGCUGUUAUACUAUUAGACUAAGAUCUGUCGUCUCUCUGUCAGUCCCCAGUUUGUCAACAUAAAGGUUCACUCCUAUGCAGUUCCAUUCAUCGGCUUCCUUCUGUCAAAUGUUCUCCUUUUACUGAUGUGAACCACAAUUUCUCUUCUUCCAAGUUUUCUCCGACCAGUAGUGUGUCCCUCUCUCUCCCUGAAAUUAACGUUGUGUAAUUCCAUCCAAAUUUACAACAUAUUUUAAACACUGCUGCAUGUUGACUAAAACAUGUUGCAACACACUUCCAGCCAUGUUUUUGAUCCCUGCCGGAUUUGUUGCCCUGAUACAGUGAGGAAUCUACCUUGUACAGACUGUUUGUCUGCACUUUACCCAAGUCAGUGGUUUAGUUGCAUUUGAGUCCUGUUUUCUUCCUUUGAUUUUGUGAAAUUGUGUACAAACCUUUAUGGUGCGUACUGGCUGAAGCAUACUAUGUUUGGAGGUCCCGUGACCCUAUAGUGGAACCUAUUAUGAUAUCUUGUACAGACAUCUUCCCCAUCAUCAUGAACCCAAACUAUUGCAGUGGUCCUGUAACUCUCCAUGUGAGUGACCAUCUGCUCAAAGAAAUGUUUUCCAAUACGUUGUUUAUGAACACAUGCCUGCAGAAAUAAUAACAUUCCCAUUAGCUUGAGAUGCACUUUGUGUUUACUGGUAAUUAGUGAAUGUUGGCAUACUAACACGCUUAAUUAAGAUGGUUAACAUGGUAAACACACCUGCCAUACAAUGCGUCAACAUUGACAGCCUAAGUAUUUUUGGCUUAUUAGCACUUAGCUUGGACACAGUGGGGCUUUAAGCUAAGUGCAGCCGCAUAGAGCCAACCACAUAACUGUAUACUGUGGUAAGUCGCUGUCCAGCAGGGCCCCUAAUUGAGGUCAGAAGUGAACCAAAGCUGGACAAUCUGACUACUUGCCCUGAUGAAAUGCACGUCGAAGCAUGAAAAGAGUGUUGUGGGUGAUUUAAGGCCUGCUGAGGACAAAAGGGGCUCUGCAUCAGGCAUUGUAAUGAGUGCCAUCGCCCAAAAAAGGCCCAGCGUGGGGGGGUACGAGGCAAAGUAGAAAUCACAGUUUAGAGCCAGAGACAGAUCCAAUUCCCUUACCCUGUGUAAUUACCGUGGAUCAGGAUUUAUCAGUGGUAGACAUCAGCCUUGGGAUCUCAGUGAAAAAGAGCAAAAAAAUGUUCAAGGGAAGCAGAAGGAGAUGCGUAGAGAGCCGUCUCAAAAAACACCAGCUAAUGUUGAAUGGGGGAUUAUCAGGCGCACGUCAACCAUCGCGCUUCAGACUCAGCCGAUAGGUAAGCCCGGAGAAUUAAGGCAGCCUUGCUAGACCGCAGGCCCUUAUCUUUUUUGACACAGGUUUUUUCAGAAGGACUGCUUUGAUUUUAAGCUAAGGGCUUCACAAAUGCCCGCAUUUCUUUUUAAGAGUUGAUGAGAUACAGUGGAUCAAAAGGAUCACAUGUGGAAGAUAUUAAAAUGCAACAUACAUCUUAGAUAUGCAACAUCCCGUAAAUCUCAUGUGUGUGUUUCCCAUUUUAUUUUGUCACUAAUAUACCCUGUCAUUCCAGUUCCUGUCCUUGUGUUCCUCCUGAUCCCUUAUUCGCAAUUCACCUGGCCUUGGUUUUUCACCUGUGCCAACCCCACAUUCUGUAUAUUCUCCCGUUUCCCCUGUCCGGCUGUGAGGUUUUCGUUGUGUUACCCUGUGUACUCAUGACUUUCUAAUAUUCCCUUCUAGUGUUUGUUUUCCGUGUUUUUUUUCGACUUUGCCUGUACUUGACUUUUGAAUUUUGCUGUCCAUUGACAGACCUCCCGUGUAAAACCACCUUCCGUCUCCUCGUCUCCUGUGUUGUCUUUUGGUCCUGGGUCUCUGCACUGACCCGGAAUCGUCACAGUGAUCCUUAACAACAUUCCUUUAUGCAUUUUAAAUAUUUAUACUCACCCAAAGGGACAUUUUACACAGAUAUGAUCCAACAUGGUACACGUCAAUACAAUUAAUACAACACCUCAUACAUCUGUGGCAGCAACAACUGUCACUGAAAGUAAUGAGCUGUUUAUGUCACCUGUCAACAGAGGUGAGUGGUCAUGGAUUUCUCUGUGAGGCAAUGGAAACCCUUUACAAAGCACACGAAAUGCACAUGGCUGCUCAGCCUCACUAAUCACUAUUCUCUUCUAAGCAUACAAAACCACAGGGCCUGAGAUCAUUUCACAGCAGUCAAGUGAAUACAUUAAUGAAUAUUACAUUCUCUGAGCUACCAGGGUCUUUACUGGCUGUUACACUAGGAUUCAAAUAUGGUACCCGUCUGCGGCUGAGGGUCAUGAAUAAUCAAAGUGAGAUUCAAAGGAUGUUAUAAAAAUGCAGGUGAUCUAAGAGUUCGUAGGUCUUGGUUGGAUUCUGUUAGGAUUUAAAUGAUGGAGUGUAAAACUGGAAAAGGCAUGGUGAGGCUGCAUGCUAUGCUGCCUUCCGGAUAAGCUCGAUGUUGGAAUGUUCCCACUUCAAACCUCCAUGUGUUCCAGGCAAAAGGCAUUAUAUUUAAAUAAAUAUUUUACAUAAUACAUAAUAUAAUUUGAUAUAUAUUUAAGUGUUUUUUGAGAAGAUCCUUUUUUGACGAGAAAAUAACUUUCAGAGUAUGUAUCAGAAGUGGACACGUCGGCGUGACGUCACUCAUCGGUAGUUUAGCGUUUGCAUCUCGGAUUUAAGUUGUCAACAUCUUGUUAUUUUUGCAACCAGAAGUAAAACUAGAGGUUGGAGUAAUGUAUAUUCAAACACCUGAUCGGACAUUUUUAAGCAAUACAAAUGCAUAAAAUGACUUGAGUCCACUGAAAACACAGUGACUUGACAUUACAUUACUCAUGUUUACAAUGUUUACAGGCAAUACAUUAUUUGAGACAGACAUUUUCUCAUUGAUUGGGUUUUUUCAGAGACAGAGGUUCCUGCCUGAAGGUGCAUUCACAACAAAAGCGAAGCAAAUAUUUUGAGCGAGAAAACACAAUACAAAUUCCCCAAAUGUCGCGAAUAAAGCGCAAAAAGCUGUUUCCCUAUCAGCGGUGAGAUAUGCCUUUUGUCUUUACUGAUGUUUUCUUUUUCCCACUGAUAAAAACCAAGUUCCAUUCAUUAAACAAGUAAUUGAUUAAUUAAAGGUU
Molecule: long non-coding RNA, 14574 nt
Organism: Gasterosteus aculeatus aculeatus (three-spined stickleback)
Lineage: Eukaryota; Metazoa; Chordata; Actinopteri; Perciformes; Gasterosteidae
Source: Ensembl